GUCAGUAAAGGCUCUUUUCCACAUCUCAUGUCUCAGCUGCCACAACACAAACCCUUCAAAGGAGACGCAUUCCCAGUUUCAUGCUCCAAGUGAGACAGAUGCUCCCGAAAGCCACUACACCACCUCAGAACUACCGAAAUAUUUUGCCUGUGGAUGUAGAACUUUUGGAUACAAAAUGCUGAUUAUAUGCUGAGAAAGGAUAAAGAAGGAAAAGUCUUAAAUAGAAGAAAACAUAAGAAGAUGGAAACUGUAGAAGACAGAGGACCACUGUAUGCCCUGAAGACAUCACUAAAGAGGCACAAGAAGCACAGUUUUGAACACUCAGGAAGAAAUACCUGACAAUCAAUGGACACAGAAAAAUGUUACUAAGUAAAACUUGUGGUGACUCUUUUGCUGGGCAGUGGGGCACGGUGGUUAAAAAUUUGGGACUUGGGAGCCAUUUCUAAAAAGAAAAAUAAAUAAA
This is a long non-coding RNA of Piliocolobus tephrosceles (Ugandan red Colobus), 463 nucleotides long. RefSeq lists it as uncharacterized. NCBI's taxonomy places the organism in Eukaryota, Metazoa, Chordata, Mammalia, Primates, Cercopithecidae. The transcript has 2 exons. The record is from RefSeq and is a predicted model, not a curated record.